Molecule: ribosomal RNA, 253 nt
Filed under: uncultured bacterium
Lineage: Bacteria
Description: partial 16S ribosomal RNA
Rfam family: Bacterial small subunit ribosomal RNA
Source: RNAcentral
UACGUAGGGAGCAAGCGUUGUCCGGAUUUAUUGGGCGUAAAGAGCGUGUAGGCGGCUUUACAGGUCCGUUGUGAAAACUCGAGGCUCAACCUCGAGACGCCGGUGGAAACCGUAAAGCUAGAGUCCGGAAGAGGAGAGUGGAAUUCCUGGUGUAGCGGUGAAAUGCGCAGAUAUCAGGAGGAACACCCGUGGCGAAAGCGGCUCUCUGGGACGGUACUGACGCUGAGACGCGAAAGCGUGGGGAGCAAACAGG